This 368-nucleotide unclassified non-coding RNA is filed under the name Bombus terrestris (buff-tailed bumblebee). RNAcentral describes it as "misc RNA ENSBTSG00005037114.1". The record is from RNAcentral. Lineage: Eukaryota; Metazoa; Arthropoda; Insecta; Hymenoptera; Apidae.
UAAAUACCAGACCCGAUAUAAGUUAUAGUGUGAAUUAUUUGAGUAGAUUUCAAGAUUGUUGUAAUGAGACACAUUUUAAAUAUGCUUUGCGAAUAUUGAAAUAUUUGUACCGGACUAGAGAUUUAAGAUUAGAUUAUAAAAGGAAUGAAAAGUGUGAAACGAUAGAUUGUUAUGUGGACGCUGAUUGGGCAGGAGAUCAUUUAGAUAGGAAAUCGACUUCUGGAUAUGUAAUUAGAUUGUAUGGAAAUGUAAUUGGUUGGAAGUCUAAAAAAACAAAGGUGUUGAAUUAAUGUCUAUUAGGGAAAUUAUGAAAAUCUUCAAUGUAACUCUAGACGAUAACCCUGUAAAAAUUUAUGAGGAUAACUCUG